Pangasianodon gigas (Mekong giant catfish) is the source of this 72-nucleotide non-coding RNA. The record is from the annotation of a GenBank genome assembly. NCBI's taxonomy places the organism in Eukaryota, Metazoa, Chordata, Actinopteri, Siluriformes, Pangasiidae.
AUUAGUGUGUGUGUGGCACAUUUUCAGUUUUGUCAAUUGUGUAGUGUAGUUCAAUCAAGAGUAGUUUCAGUC